GAAGAAGAAGGAGAAGAAGAAGAAGAGGAAGAAGUAGCAGAACGAGAAGAAGGAACAGGAGAAAAGGAAGAAGUUGGAGAAUAAGAAGAAGGUGAAGAAGUAGUAGAAGAAGAUGGAGCAGAAGGAGAAGUUGAAGAAGAAGAGGAAGAAGAAGAAGAAGAACAACAAGAAGAAGAAGAACGAGAAGAAGAAGAAGAAGAAGGAGAUGAAGAAGAAGAGGAAGAAGUAGCAGAACGAGAAGAA
RNAcentral lists this long non-coding RNA (243 nucleotides) under Phoenix dactylifera (date palm). RNAcentral describes it as "long non-coding RNA (PDAC_LNC008438)". The record is from RNAcentral. Lineage: Eukaryota; Viridiplantae; Streptophyta; Magnoliopsida; Arecales; Arecaceae.